RNAcentral lists this small nuclear RNA (141 nucleotides) under Naegleria gruberi. Its description in RNAcentral is "U4 spliceosomal RNA". The record is from Rfam by way of RNAcentral. Lineage: Eukaryota; Heterolobosea; Eutetramitea; Acrasida; Naegleriidae.
GUUCUUGUCCAGGGAUUUUACGUUGUUCUUGAUCGUCACUGUGAAACACGUAAUUGCUGAUUGCGAUCUGCCCUUUUCUACCCGUUUUCUUGCUUCGAAAGAGUUUGAGAAAACAAUUUUUGAACUCUGAAAGCACUUCAG